This 312-nucleotide ribosomal RNA is filed under the name uncultured Marinomonas sp. RNAcentral's name for it is "bacterial SSU rRNA". It matches the Rfam family "Bacterial small subunit ribosomal RNA", at positions 30 to 334 of the family's 1533-position model. Lineage: Bacteria; Pseudomonadati; Pseudomonadota; Gammaproteobacteria; Oceanospirillales; Oceanospirillaceae. The record is from RNAcentral.
AUUGAACGCUGGCGGCAGGCUUAACACAUGCAAGUCGAGCGGUAACAGGAAGAAAGCUUGCUUUCUUUGCUGACGAGCGGCGGACGGGUGAGUAACGCGUAGGAAUCUGCCUAGUAGUGGGGGACAACAUGUGGAAACGCAUGCUAAUACCGCAUACGCCCUACGGGGGAAAGGAGGGGAUCUUCGGACCUUUCGCUAUUAGAUGAGCCUGCGUAAGAUUAGCUAGUUGGUGGGGUAAAGGCUCACCAAGGCGACGAUCUUUAGCUGGUCUGAGAGGAUGAUCAGCCACACUGGGACUGAGACACGGCCCAG